This 467-nucleotide ribosomal RNA is filed under the name uncultured bacterium. RNAcentral's name for it is "partial 16S ribosomal RNA". It matches the Rfam family "Bacterial small subunit ribosomal RNA", at positions 29 to 507 of the family's 1533-position model. The record is from RNAcentral.
ACGAACGCUGGCGGCGUGCUUCACCCAUGCCAGUCGCACGGAAAGGCCCUGCUUUUGUGGGGUGCUCGAGUGGCGAACGGGUGAGUAACACGUGAGUAACCUGCCCUUGACUUUGGGAUAACUUCAGGAAACUGGGGCUAAUACCGGAUAGGAGCUCCUGCUGCAUGGUGGGGGUUGGAAAGUUUCGGCGGUUGGGGAUGGACUCGCGGCUUAUCAGCUUGUUGGUGGGGUAGUGGCUUACCAAGGCUUUGACGGGUAGCCGGCCUGAGAGGGUGACCGGCCACAUUGGGACUGAGAUACGGCCCAGACUCCUACGGGAGGCAGCAGUGGGGAAUAUUGCACAAUGGGCGGAAGCCUGAUGCAGCAACGCCGCGUGCGGGAUGACGGCCUUCGGGCUGUAAACCGCUUUCGCCUGUGACGAAGCGUGAGUGACGGUAAUGGGUAAAGAAGCACCGGCUAACUACGUG